This 1677-nucleotide ribosomal RNA is filed under the name Centrobranchus choerocephalus. Its description in RNAcentral is "16S rRNA". The stretch from base 97 to 1564 matches the Rfam family "Bacterial large subunit ribosomal RNA". Lineage: Eukaryota; Metazoa; Chordata; Actinopteri; Myctophiformes; Myctophidae. The record is from RNAcentral.
ACCAAAAAAGCUAGCCCAACCCUUAUAAGAAUUACUUUAUGUAUUAUUAUCAUUAAAUUAAUAAACAAAACAUUUUACCUCCUUAGUACAGGCGAUUAAAAAGGAAAUUUUGGAGCAAUAGAAAAAGUACCGCAAGGGAAAGCUGAAAGAGAAAUGAAAGAAAUACCCCAGCACCAAAAAGCAGAGAUAACCCCUCGUACCUUUUGCAUCAUGCUUUAGCUAGUAUGCCUGAGUAUAAGUGCUAUAGUUCAGCCCCCCGAAACUAGGCGAGCUACUUUGGAAGCCUAUUAGGCUACGCCUUAAGGGCACACCCGUCUCUGUCGCAAAAGAGUGGGAGGAUCCUCAAGUAGCGGUGACAAAUCUAUCGAGCCUAGUUAUAGCUGGUUGCAUAAAAAGUGAAUUUAAGUUCAGCCUCCUGACACUAUAUAUUAGCCGGCUAAAGCCUUCAAAAAUAAACAGUAAGUCAAGAGAGUUAGUCAAAGAGGGUACAGCCCCUUUGAAAAAGGACACAACCUCUCUGGGAGAAUAAAGAUCAAAUAAUACUAGGGAAUUUACUUUAGUGGGCCUAAAAGCAGCCACCUAUUAAGAAAGCGUUAUAGCUCCUGUAAAAUUCUCCCUUAAAUACCGAACCUUACUCUUCAUUCCCCUCCUCACUAUUGUGCCCUCCCACAGCCCCUGGGAAAGACCCUGCUAAAAUGAGUAAUAAGAGGGAACGCCCCUCUCCACCACACGUGUGUAAAUCGGAACGGACCCGCCGCCGAUAAUUAACGAACCGCCUUUAAACGAGGGCAGUGUCACACCAUAUAAAUUGCAAGAAAAUUUAACACGAAAAUUCGUUAGCCCUACACAGGUGCGUACCCCCGGAAAGACUAAACCAAAGGGAAGGAACUCGGCAAACACAAGCCUCGCCUGUUUACCAAAAACACCGCCUCUUGCAAAAUUAACAAAUAAGAGGUCCCGCCUGCCCAGUGACUGUGUUUAACGGCCGCGGUAUUAUGACCGUGCGAAGGUAGCGCAAUAAAUUGUCUCUUAAUUAGAGACUAGUAUGAAUGGCAUCACGAGGGCUUAACUGUCUCCCCUUUAAAGUCAAUGAAAUUGAUCUCCCCGUGCAGAAGCGGGGAUAAAAAUGUAAGACGAGAAGACCCUAUGGAGCUUUAGACUUAAGGUAACUUAUGUUAAAGACCCUCUCUCUGAGGAUAAACAAAAUAAGCCUUACUGACAUGUCUUCGGUUGGGGCGACCACGGAGAAAAAUAAAACCUCCACAUGGGCGGGCUACUUCAGCCCUAAAAUAUAGACCUACAGGUCUAACUAACAGUAAUUCUGACCUCUAAAGACCCGGCGUGAGCCGAUUAAUGAACCUAGUUACCCUAGGGAUAACAGCGCAAUCCCCUCAUAGAGCCCUAAUCGACGAGGGGGUUUACGACCUCGAUGUUGGAUCAGGAUAUCCUAAUGGUGCAGACGCUAUUAAGGGUUCGUUUGUUCAACGAUUAAAAUCCUACGUGAUCUGAGUUCAGACCGGAGUAAUCCAGGUCAGUUUCUAUCUACCCCCUGAUCUUUUUUAGUACGCAAGGACCAAAAAGAAGAAGUCUAUGUUAUAAAUAUACUUCACCCUCUACUAAUGAACCAAGCUAAACUAGGAAAAGGGCAAAAUAAGCUUUCCGCUUUAAAACAAAGCA